This 1030-nucleotide ribosomal RNA is filed under the name uncultured Bacteroides sp. RNAcentral describes it as "bacterial SSU rRNA". It matches the Rfam family "Bacterial small subunit ribosomal RNA", at positions 137 to 1171 of the family's 1533-position model. The record is from RNAcentral. Lineage: Bacteria; Pseudomonadati; Bacteroidota; Bacteroidia; Bacteroidales; Bacteroidaceae.
UCUUGGCCAGCCUUCUGAAAGGAAGAUUAAUACAAGAUGGCAUCAUGAGUCCACAUGUUCACAUGAUUAAAGGUAUUCCGGUAGACGAUGGGGAUGCGUUCCAUUAGAUAGUAGGCGGGGUAACGGCCCACCUAGUCUUCGAUGGAUAGGGGUUCUGAGAGGAAGGUCCCCCACAUUGGAACUGAGACACGGUCCAAACUCCUACGGGAGGCAGCAGUGAGGAAUAUUGGUCAAUGGGCGAGAGCCUGAACCAGCCAAGUAGCGUGAAGGAUGACUGCCCUAUGGGUUGUAAACUUCUUUUAUAAAGGAAUAAAGUCGGGUAUGGAUACCCGUUUGCAUGUACUUUAUGAAUAAGGAUCGGCUAACUCCGUGCCAGCAGCCGCGGUAAUACGGAGGAUCCGAGCGUUAUCCGGAUUUAUUGGGUUUAAAGGGAGCGUAGAUGGAUGUUUAAGUCAGUUGUGAAAGUUUGCGGCUCAACCGUAAAAUUGCAGUUGAUACUGGAUAUCUUGAGUGCAGUUGAGGCAGGCGGAAUUCGUGGUGUAGCGGUGAAAUGCUUAGAUAUCACGAAGAACUCCGAUUGCGAAGGCAGCCUGCUAAGCUGCAACUGACAUUGAGGCUCGAAAGUGUGGGUAUCAAACAGGAUUAGAUACCCUGGUAGUCCACACGGUAAACGAUGAAUACUCGCUGUUUGCGAUAUACGGCAAGCGGCCAAGCGAAAGCGUUAAGUAUUCCACCUGGGGAGUACGCCGGCAACGGUGAAACUCAAAGGAAUUGACGGGGGCCCGCACAAGCGGAGGAACAUGUGGUUUAAUUCGAUGAUACGCGAGGAACCUUACCCGGGCUUAAAUUGCAGAUGAAUUACGGUGAAAGCCGUAAGCCGCAAGGCAUCUGUGAAGGUGCUGCAUGGUUGUCGUCAGCUCGUGCCGUGAGGUGUCGGCUUAAGUGCCAUAACGAGCGCAACCCUUGUUGUCAGUUACUAACAGGAUUUGCUGAGGACUCUGACAAGACUGCCAUCGUAAGAUGUGAGGAA